RNAcentral lists this long non-coding RNA (360 nucleotides) under Elaeis guineensis (African oil palm). Its description in RNAcentral is "long non-coding RNA (EGUI_LNC036588)". The record is from RNAcentral. Lineage: Eukaryota; Viridiplantae; Streptophyta; Magnoliopsida; Arecales; Arecaceae.
GCGCGUAGAUGAAGGAGCUUCCAACCAACGCCAGAUAGAAAAUAAAGGUCAGAAGAAAAAGCAGAAGAAGAGUGCGGCUCUGAUCGAAUCAAGUAGGCCCCCAUCCAAUGAGCGAGCCUCAUCUCGAUAAGGGAGUCCGAAGCUGACCUACAGUAGGUAUGACUCCUACACUCCUCUUUCUGCUCCUCGUGCAUAGAUCCUCAUGGAGAUUGAAGGAGCAGAAUAUCUACGGCACCCUCCAUCAAUGAAAAUGAAGAACCGCAAUCAAAAGAGGUAUUGUCGGUUUCACUGAAACUACAGCCAUGAUAUCGAGCAAUGCAUCCAACUCAGGGACGAGAUAGAGUCCUUGAUUCGAUAAGA